GUGCCAGCCGCCGCGGUAAUACGGAGGGUCCAAGCGUUGUCCGUAAUCACUGGGUGUAACGGGUGCGCAGGCGGGCGUGUAAGUCAGGGGUGAAAGCCACCGGCCUAACCGGUGAACUGCCCUUGAUACUGCACGUCUUGAGUCCCGGAGAGGCUAUCAGAAUUCGUGGUGUAGCGGUGAAAUGCGUAAAUAUCACGAGGAAUACCAGAAGCGUAGGCGGAUAGCUGGACGGGUACUGACGCUCAGGCACGAAAGCGUGGGGAGCGAACAGGAUUAGAUACCCUUGUAGUCC
RNAcentral lists this ribosomal RNA (292 nucleotides) under uncultured bacterium. RNAcentral's name for it is "partial 16S ribosomal RNA". It matches the Rfam family "Bacterial small subunit ribosomal RNA", at positions 505 to 796 of the family's 1533-position model. The record is from RNAcentral.